This 93-nucleotide transfer RNA is filed under the name Streptomyces calvus. RNAcentral describes it as "tRNA-Arg". Lineage: Bacteria; Bacillati; Actinomycetota; Actinomycetes; Kitasatosporales; Streptomycetaceae. The record is from RNAcentral. RNAcentral also lists the same sequence under 1 other name.
GCUGCGCGUAGGCGGUGGCGCGCAGCGCGGCCUCCUGCGCCGCGCGGCCGGCCUCGUCGACGAGGGGCUGCGGGAACGCCACCCGGGACAGCG